UUAACUUAAAUUUGUAUUGUAUUGGAACGUUUGCCUACGUUUAUCGCUUGGGCGCUGUUCCAACUGCAUAAAAAUUAGAGUUA
Molecule: microRNA precursor, 83 nt
Filed under: Bombyx mori (domestic silkworm)
Lineage: Eukaryota; Metazoa; Arthropoda; Insecta; Lepidoptera; Bombycidae
Description: mir-2807 microRNA precursor family
Rfam family: mir-2807 microRNA precursor family
Source: Rfam by way of RNAcentral